AUUGAACGCUGGCGGCAGGCCUAACACAUGCAAGUCGAGCGGAUGACGGGAGCUUGCUCCUUGAUUCAGCGGCGGACGGGUGAGUAAUGCCUAGGAAUCUGCCUGGUAGUGGGGGACAACGUUUCGAAAGGAACGCUAAUACCGCAUACGUCCUACGGGAGAAAGCAGGGGACCUUCGGGCCUUGCGCUAUCAGAUGAGCCUAGGUCGGAUUAGCUAGGUGGUGGGGUAAUGGCUCACCAAGGCGAAGAUCCGUAACUGGUCUGAGAGGAGGGGCAGUCCCACUGGAACAGAGACACCGUCCAGACGCCUACGGGGGGCAGCAGUGGGGAAUAUUGGACAAUGGGCGAAUGCCUGAUCCAGCCAUGCCGCGUGUGUGAAGAAGGUCUUCGGAUUGUAAAGCACUUUAAGUUGGAAGGAAGGGCAGUAAGUUAAUACCUUGCUGUUUUGACGUUACCGACAGAAUAAGCACCGGCUAACUCUGUGCCAGCAGCCGCAGUAA
This 500-nucleotide ribosomal RNA is filed under the name uncultured bacterium. RNAcentral's name for it is "partial 16S ribosomal RNA". It matches the Rfam family "Bacterial small subunit ribosomal RNA", at positions 30 to 523 of the family's 1533-position model. The record is from RNAcentral.